AGCAGCCGCGGUAAUUCCAGCUCCAAUAGCGUAUAUUAAAGUUGUUGCAGUUAAAAAGCUCGUAGUUGAAUUUCGGGAUCAAAGGAUCGGUCAUGCCUUGGUAUGUACUGGUUUUAUUGGUUCUCACCUUCUAAAGAACCAUAAUGUCAUUCAUUUGAUGUUAUGGGGAAUUAGGACUGUUACCUUGAAAAAAUUAGAGUGUUUAAAGCAGGCUUACGCUUGAAUACAUUAGCAUGGAAUAAUGAAAUAGGACAUCAGAUUCUAUUUUGUUGGUUUCUAGGAUCGAUGUAAUGAUUAAUAGGGAUAGUUGGGGGCAUUAGUAUUCAAUUGUCAGAGGUGAAAUUCUUGGAUUUAUUGAAGACUAACUACUGCGAAAGCAUUUGCCAAGGAUGUUUUCAUUAAUCAAGAACGAAAGUUAGGGGAUCGAAGACGAUCAGAUACCGUCGUAGUCUUAACCAUAAACUAUGCCGACUAGGGAUCGGAUGAUGUUAAUUUAUAAUGACUCAUUC
Molecule: unclassified non-coding RNA, 509 nt
Filed under: uncultured Glomus
Lineage: Eukaryota; Fungi; Glomeromycota; Glomeromycetes; Glomerales; Glomeraceae
Description: SSU rRNA
Rfam family: Eukaryotic small subunit ribosomal RNA
Source: RNAcentral